UAUUUUUCAAAAAUUGUUGGUGUAAAAAAAUGUUGAGCCAUAAUGUUGUUGAAUGUAAAAAGUUGAAAAAAAUGUUUGUGUGUGUGUAAAAAUACGUUAAGCCAUAAUGUUGUUCGAUGUAAAAAAAAGUUGAAGAAAAAUGUUGGUGCAUAUAAAAAAUGUUGAUCAACUUAAUAAAUGUUGGUGACGAUUAAACCCAGUUUCAAAGAAAAUGUUGACAAAUGUAAAGAAAUGUCGGUGAAUGUCAAAAAAAUGUUAAAGAAAAAUGUUGAGCUAUAAUGUUGGUGAUGUAAAAAAAAGUUAACGAAAAAAUAUUCAGAAAGAAAAAUGUUGGUCAACAUCAAUAAAAUGUUGGUGUAUUAAAAAAAGUUCAAAAAUAAUUUAAUUCAAAAUAUGAUCAAGUGUGAUUUUGAUUUGUAGAUCUCAUCAUA
This 431-nucleotide long non-coding RNA is filed under the name Setaria italica (foxtail millet). RNAcentral's name for it is "long non-coding RNA (SITA_LNC005737)". The record is from RNAcentral. Lineage: Eukaryota; Viridiplantae; Streptophyta; Magnoliopsida; Poales; Poaceae.